RNAcentral lists this ribosomal RNA (253 nucleotides) under uncultured bacterium. Its description in RNAcentral is "partial 16S ribosomal RNA". It matches the Rfam family "Bacterial small subunit ribosomal RNA", at positions 524 to 776 of the family's 1533-position model. The record is from RNAcentral.
UACAGAGACUGCAAGCGUUAUUCGGAUUCACUGGGCGUAAAGGGUGCGCAGGCGGCCGAGUGUGUGAGGCGUGAAAGCCCGGGGCUUAACCCCGGAAUUGCACCUCAAACUACACGGCUAGAGCAUUGGAGAGGGUAGCAGAAUUCAUGGUGUAGCAGUGAAAUGCGUAGAUAUCAUGAGGAAUACCAGAGGCGAAGGCGGCUACCUGGACAAUUGCUGACGCUCAGGCACGAAAGCUAGGGGAGCAAACAGG